RNAcentral lists this transfer RNA (40 nucleotides) under Calathea utilis. RNAcentral's name for it is "partial tRNA-Phe". The record is from RNAcentral. Lineage: Eukaryota; Viridiplantae; Streptophyta; Magnoliopsida; Zingiberales; Marantaceae.
GUUGGGAUAGCUCAGUUGGUAGAGCAGAAGACUGAAAAUC